UACGUAGGGGGCAAGCGUUAUCCGGAUUUACUGGGUGUAAAGGGAGCGUAGACGGAAUGGCAAGUCUGAUGUGAAAGGCAGGGGCUCAACCCCUGGACUGCAUUGGAAACUGUCAGUCUUGAGUACCGGAGGGGUAAGCGGAAUUCCUAGUGUAGCGGUGAAAUGCGUAGAUAUUAGGAGGAACACCAGUGGCGAAGGCGGCUUACUGGACGGUAACUGACGUUGAGGCUCGAAAGCGUGGGGAGCAAACAGG
Molecule: ribosomal RNA, 253 nt
Filed under: Blautia glucerasea
Lineage: Bacteria; Bacillati; Bacillota; Clostridia; Lachnospirales; Lachnospiraceae
Description: partial 16S ribosomal RNA
Rfam family: Bacterial small subunit ribosomal RNA
Source: RNAcentral